RNAcentral lists this ribosomal RNA (1535 nucleotides) under Parabacteroides distasonis. RNAcentral describes it as "bacterial SSU rRNA". It matches the Rfam family "Bacterial small subunit ribosomal RNA". Lineage: Bacteria; Pseudomonadati; Bacteroidota; Bacteroidia; Bacteroidales; Tannerellaceae. The record is from RNAcentral.
CAAUUUAAACAACGAAGAGUUUGAUCCUGGCUCAGGAUGAACGCUAGCGACAGGCUUAACACAUGCAAGUCGAGGGGCAGCGGGGGUAGCAAUACCCGCCGGCGACCGGCGCACGGGUGAGUAACGCGUAUGCAACUUACCUAUCAGAGGGGGAUAACCCGGCGAAAGUCGGACUAAUACCGCAUGAAGCAGGGAUCCCGCAUGGGAAUAUUUGCUAAAGAUUCAUCGCUGAUAGAUAGGCAUGCGUUCCAUUAGGCAGUUGGCGGGGUAACGGCCCACCAAACCGACGAUGGAUAGGGGUUCUGAGAGGAAGGUCCCCCACAUUGGUACUGAGACACGGACCAAACUCCUACGGGAGGCAGCAGUGAGGAAUAUUGGUCAAUGGCCGAGAGGCUGAACCAGCCAAGUCGCGUGAGGGAUGAAGGUUCUAUGGAUCGUAAACCUCUUUUAUAAGGGAAUAAAGUGUGGGACGUGUCCCGUUUUGUAUGUACCUUAUGAAUAAGGAUCGGCUAACUCCGUGCCAGCAGCCGCGGUAAUACGGAGGAUCCGAGCGUUAUCCGGAUUUAUUGGGUUUAAAGGGUGCGUAGGCGGCCUUUUAAGUCAGCGGUGAAAGUCUGUGGCUCAACCAUAGAAUUGCCGUUGAAACUGGGGGGCUUGAGUAUGUUUGAGGCAGGCGGAAUGCGUGGUGUAGCGGUGAAAUGCAUAGAUAUCACGCAGAACCCCGAUUGCGAAGGCAGCCUGCCAAGCCAUGACUGACGCUGAUGCACGAAAGCGUGGGGAUCAAACAGGAUUAGAUACCCUGGUAGUCCACGCAGUAAACGAUGAUCACUAGCUGUUUGCGAUACACUGUAAGCGGCACAGCGAAAGCGUUAAGUGAUCCACCUGGGGAGUACGCCGGCAACGGUGAAACUCAAAGGAAUUGACGGGGGCCCGCACAAGCGGAGGAACAUGUGGUUUAAUUCGAUGAUACGCGAGGAACCUUACCCGGGUUUGAACGCAUUCGGACCGAGGUGGAAACACCUUUUCUAGCAAUAGCCGUUUGCGAGGUGCUGCAUGGUUGUCGUCAGCUCGUGCCGUGAGGUGUCGGCUUAAGUGCCAUAACGAGCGCAACCCUUGCCACUAGUUACUAACAGGUAAAGCUGAGGACUCUGGUGGGACUGCCAGCGUAAGCUGCGAGGAAGGCGGGGAUGACGUCAAAUCAGCACGGCCCUUACAUCCGGGGCGACACACGUGUUACAAUGGCGUGGACAAAGGGAAGCCACCUGGCGACAGGGAGCGAAUCCCCAAACCACGUCUCAGUUCGGAUCGGAGUCUGCAACCCGACUCCGUGAAGCUGGAUUCGCUAGUAAUCGCGCAUCAGCCAUGGCGCGGUGAAUACGUUCCCGGGCCUUGUACACACCGCCCGUCAAGCCAUGGGAGCCGGGGGUACCUGAAGUCCGUAACCGCGAGGAUCGGCCUAGGGUAAAACUGGUGACUGGGGCUAAGUCGUAACAAGGUAGCCGUACCGGAAGGUGCGGCUGGAACACCUCCUUUCU